RNAcentral lists this transfer RNA (67 nucleotides) under Notoryctes caurinus. Its description in RNAcentral is "tRNA-Pro". Lineage: Eukaryota; Metazoa; Chordata; Mammalia; Notoryctemorphia; Notoryctidae. The record is from RNAcentral.
CAGGAAGUAGUUUAAUGAGAAUUUCAGCUUUGGGUGUUGAAGGUAGGACAUUAUGUCUUCUUCUUGA